RNAcentral lists this ribosomal RNA (253 nucleotides) under uncultured prokaryote. RNAcentral's name for it is "partial 16S ribosomal RNA". It matches the Rfam family "Bacterial small subunit ribosomal RNA", at positions 524 to 776 of the family's 1533-position model. The record is from RNAcentral.
UACGUAGGGCGCAAGCGUUAUCCGGAAUUAUUGGGCGUAAAGGGCUCGUAGGCGGUUUGUCGCGUCGGGAGUGAAAACCUCAUGCUUAACAUGUGGCUUGCUUUCGAUACGGGCAGACUAGAGGUAUGCAGGGGAGAACGGAAUUCCUGGUGUAGCGGUGAAAUGCGCAGAUAUCAGGAGGAACACCGGUGGCGAAGGCGGUUCUCUGGGCAUUACCUGACGCUGAGGAGCGAAAGUGUGGGGAGCGAACAGG